RNAcentral lists this ribosomal RNA (459 nucleotides) under uncultured bacterium. RNAcentral describes it as "partial 16S ribosomal RNA". It matches the Rfam family "Bacterial small subunit ribosomal RNA", at positions 338 to 795 of the family's 1533-position model. The record is from RNAcentral.
CCUACGGGAGGCAGCAGUGAGGAAUAUUGGUCAAUGGGCGGAAGCCUGAACCAGCCAAGUAGCGUGCGGGAUGACUGCCCUACGGGUCGUAAACCGCUUUUGCACGGGGAUAACACCCUCCACGUGUGGAGGUCUGCAGGUACCGUGCAGAUAAGGGCCGGCUAAUUCCGUGCCAGCAGCCGCUGUAAUAAGGAAGGCCCGAGCGUUAUCCGGAUUCAUUGGGCUUAAAGGGAGCGUAGGCGGGCGUUCAAGUCAGCGGUAAAAUUGCGUGGCUCAACCGCGCCCCGCAGUUGAAACUGGACGCCUUGAGUGCACAACAGGCAGGCGGAAUGCGUGGUGUAGCGGUGAAAUGCAUAGAUAUCACGCGGAACCCCGAUUGCGAAGGCAGCCUGCCGGGGUGCGACUGACGCUGAGGCUCGAAGGUGCGGGUAUCAAACAGGAUUAGAUACCCGAGUAGUC